AGCUUGCAGUCUGCUGAGGGGAACAUCCAAAACUAUCUGAAGCCCCGGGCUGAACCAGGCUCUGCAGACAUUGGUGGUGUCCUAGAAGGCUCUUGCUGAGGUCUUAUGUCUGAAAAGAAACCCUCGGAAACCCACUUGAGUCUGUCUUGCAUUUCACAUGAAACAAGGCUUCAUUCUGCAAAAAUAUCUGGGACCUUCAAAUUCACAAGUGGAUUUUCUGCUCAGGGGAGAGCUACCAAUCGGUUGAAAGUUCUGUGUAAUUGCUGGGCCGCUGGGUUCUUUGCAUCUGUUCUUGGAGGCCACUGAAGUCACGUCCUGAGUUACCUCUCAUCUGGGCCUUGAUUUGCUUCAUCUUUGGCUGGGCCUCAACAAAUCUCUUCACCUGAAAGGAACUCCUUCAAAUGAACUGGUCGCCAUAUGAAUUGAUGCUACACUUUGAGCGUUGCCGCAGUCAGGUGAAUUCAAGCUACAGAGAAGAGGCGAUUCACAUUUUUUCCUUCUGUCUUGUAUUAUUCCUCCGGCUCAAGAACC
This 531-nucleotide long non-coding RNA is filed under the name Homo sapiens (human). Its description in RNAcentral is "HSALNT0302508". The record is from RNAcentral. Lineage: Eukaryota; Metazoa; Chordata; Mammalia; Primates; Hominidae.